GGUAAAUGAUGAGGACUCUUCGGUGU
Molecule: non-coding RNA, 26 nt
Filed under: Rattus norvegicus (Norway rat)
Lineage: Eukaryota; Metazoa; Chordata; Mammalia; Rodentia; Muridae
Source: RNAcentral